AAAUUGAAGAGUUUGAUCAUGGCUCAGAUUGAACGCUGGCGGCAGGCCUAACACAUGCAAGUCGAACGGUAACAGAAAGCAGCUUGCUGCUUCGCUGACGAGUGGCGGACGGGUGAGUAAUGUCUGGGAAACUGCCUGAUGGAGGGGGAUAACUACUGGAAACGGUAGCUAAUACCGCAUAACGUCGCAAGACCAAAGAGGGG
RNAcentral lists this ribosomal RNA (203 nucleotides) under Escherichia coli. RNAcentral describes it as "partial 16S ribosomal RNA". It matches the Rfam family "Bacterial small subunit ribosomal RNA", at positions 1 to 211 of the family's 1533-position model. Lineage: Bacteria; Pseudomonadati; Pseudomonadota; Gammaproteobacteria; Enterobacterales; Enterobacteriaceae. The record is from RNAcentral.